CUCAGAAAUUACUUGUUCCACACUUCUUCCUGUUGUCGUCAGUGCAUCAAAAGAUAGGGUACCCAAUAUCAAAUUCAAUGUGGCUAAGGUGUUGCAGUCACUUAUUCCCAUAGUUGAUCAGUCGGUGGUGGAGAAGACAAUUCGUCCAUGUUUGGUUGAGAUGAGCGAGGAUCCAGAUGUUGAUGUCAGAUUCUUUGCUACUCAAGCACUACAGUCGAGUGAUCAGGUCAUGAUGUCUACCUAGUACCUAGAUUGACUGUUGUAAUUAGGAAUUCUUCUCCCUUUCCAAUUCAAGUUCAGUUAUCAUCUUACUGAUAUAUGUAAUACCUAAGGUGUCUUCCUUUGAGACAAAUCUUUUUCCCUUGGACACUUGGGUCUAUUUUUUAGAGUCGUGAAACACAUCACUGGUUAUAGCUUCUGCCAUGUGUUGCUAAUGCCAUUUCUGGUUGUACUAAAAAAAAUAGACCC
Molecule: unclassified non-coding RNA, 468 nt
Filed under: Hevea brasiliensis (rubber tree)
Lineage: Eukaryota; Viridiplantae; Streptophyta; Magnoliopsida; Malpighiales; Euphorbiaceae
Source: RNAcentral